This is a long non-coding RNA of Oreochromis aureus, 994 nucleotides long. The record is from Ensembl. NCBI's taxonomy places the organism in Eukaryota, Metazoa, Chordata, Actinopteri, Cichliformes, Cichlidae.
CAAAAGGAGAGUCAAGAGUGACUAAAUCAAAGGGAAUACGGUAAAAAAAAAAAAAAAAAAAAAAAAUGGUAGGGGGGCAAAUUACACGUUGUAAUAAAUGUAGGGGAUAGAUUCGCGGAAUGGUGCAAUAACAACUUGUUUUUAGAAAAUGGAGGCGAGGACGGCAACAAGAACCGGAAAGCAACUAUUUCGCUGCCGAGAGGGAGCUCUUCUUCUUUCUUUUUUUCGCCGCUCACACAAAUAUGGUGGAAGAAAAGUUUUGUCGACAAAGGAGACAGCGGAAAGACGGCCGAAUGCGUUUUUUUUCUUUUCAGUUUAAUAAACAGAAUACAUGCAUUUUAUUAUCUAAAUGUUUAAACGGUGACAACACCGUAUAGUCGGAACUGAGCUUUGAUUUUGGGCGGCACGCACGCGGUGUUUUGACCAAAAACUUUUUCUUUUUUUAUUGCCAACUAAUCAAUAACUAAGUGGACAUUUCCGGGUUCACGCGGGAGUAUAAACGUGCAGCAGCCCCCACCACCACACCUCACUCAUCCACCACACUGGCUGCCCCGCGGGUCACCGCUUCAGGAGCACCACGUCACCACGUUAACCCCUGCAUCACCGCGUCCGCAAGCAGGGCCAAGAACCCCGUGGGCUUGUACAGAAGGAGGGAGGAGGGGAUCCUCAAAAACUGGGGUGCCGAGGACCUCCAGGCGCCCCGAAGGGCGGGUCCUGAGUGUCUCCAGCAGAAAUGAGGAACAGCAGCAUCACGCGGCCUGGCGUGGCCGGCCUCGAGAGUCAUGUGAUCUCCGGGGUGGCUUUUGCCUGGGAGAAGAAAAGGCAAGUUUGUGUCAAAAUCCAUUUUUAUUCCAGCUGGAAGGUCACAGGUCAUCUCAACUCUGAUGUAAUCAGAGUAAAAGUGAGUCGGCCCUUUUGUAGCUUGAGCUAUCUUACCCCUCUUUUCACUGUCGUUAAUACUUAUCUUUCAUUUCUUUGUAGCUUUUUGGCCUCC